ACCCGUUCCUUUCCCUCCCAGCCUCGGAACUCGGAGCCCAUCGCCCGUCUCGGAAGGAUGGCGAUGGCUCUGGAGAGCCCAACGUGCCGACGCGCCCGACACAUCCAACGCAAGGAGGCAUGCCGCGCCACGGCACACCCAGCAGCACCAUUUCCUUUCCUUUCCUCACGUACAUGCGGCUCUCCCCCCCUCUCUCCAGUUACUAAGGAGGGAUGCUGCCUCCCGUUUCGCCACAGCCCCCUCCCCCCACGCAACUGUACUAUAAAAGUUUCGCCUUCCUAGGCUCGGCUGCGGUGGUGUCCGGAGCUGAUCUGCGCGGCAGUGCUGCCGCUCGCGGCCGGCGCGCGGCCGGCCGUCCCGGUGUGCUCUCCGGCGCUGGAGCGGGAGGAGGAGGAGAUGGUGACAAAGAUGGAACAGCUAAAAAAAACAUCAACAUCAAGAAGGGUGAUGCCCUGCUGCGGUGGCUGCAUCUGGUGAAUGGUGACCGGCCAUUCAACUUCCAUAGCCUUCCUUGCAUUUGGAAGAGGACUUGAAUCUGGUUGUCUUGUGUGUUCGAUGCAACUGCAGCAACAAUGGUGAUGAUGAUAGUAGUUACCUUUUCUUUGCAAAGCGGGAUGAUAUAUUAAUUUAUUAGUUGUACCUAAAAUCCAUAAGAACCCAAAUAUCAGUGUUUAUCUGGUCAAGCAAGUGAAGUUGUGUUGUUAUUACUGUUUAUAGGUAAUGAUGGGUUUGUCAGAAACUUCAAAUGAAUGGAACAAAAGAAAAUUAGCAAUA
Long non-coding RNA from Aegilops tauschii subsp. strangulata, 774 nucleotides. RefSeq lists it as uncharacterized. Lineage: Eukaryota; Viridiplantae; Streptophyta; Magnoliopsida; Poales; Poaceae. The record is from RefSeq and is a predicted model, not a curated record.